Molecule: ribosomal RNA, 253 nt
Filed under: uncultured bacterium
Lineage: Bacteria
Description: partial 16S ribosomal RNA
Rfam family: Bacterial small subunit ribosomal RNA
Source: RNAcentral
UACGAGGGGUGCAAGCGUUGCUCGGAAUUACUGGGCGUAAAGGGCGUGUAGGCGGUCUGGCGAGUCGGUCGUGAAAUCCCUCGGCUCAACUGAGGACCGUCGAUCGAUACUGCCGUUCUUGAGGAUUGCAGAGGAGACUGGAAUUCCAGGUGUAGCGGUGAAAUGCGUAGAUAUCUGGAGGAACACCGGUGGCGAAGGCGACAUCCUGGACCGGCAUUGACGCUGAGGCGCGAAAGCCAGGGGAGCAAACGGG